RNAcentral lists this ribosomal RNA (352 nucleotides) under uncultured bacterium. Its description in RNAcentral is "partial 16S ribosomal RNA". It matches the Rfam family "Bacterial small subunit ribosomal RNA", at positions 338 to 687 of the family's 1533-position model. The record is from RNAcentral.
CCUACGGGUGGCUGCAGUGAGGAAUAUUGGUCAAUGGGCGGAAGCCUGAACCAGCCAAGUAGCGUGCAGGAUGACGGCCCUACGGGUUGUAAACUGCUUUUAUACGGGAAUAACGCGCCUUACGUGUAGGGCUUUGCAUGUACCGUAUGAAUAAGGACGGGCUAAUUCCGUGCCGGACGCCGCGGUAAUACGGAAGGUCCGGGCGUUAUCCGGAUUUAUUGGGUGUAAGGGGAGGGUAGGCCGGAGGUCAAGCUUGCUGUGAAAUGUCCGGGAUAAACCCGGGAGGUGCAGGGGGAACUGGGGUGAUUGGGGAUGGGGAAGGCAGGUGGAAGUCGUGGUGUAGGGGUAAAAU